Molecule: long non-coding RNA, 623 nt
Organism: Zea mays
Lineage: Eukaryota; Viridiplantae; Streptophyta; Magnoliopsida; Poales; Poaceae
Exons: 3
Source: RefSeq, a predicted model, not a curated record
CAGGUGCCAUUUAGGAUAACUGCAACAGGAUGGGUCCAAGAAUUCAACAAUACUGCCAGAAUUGUGAAGAAGAUAAAGCUCACAUGCACACCAUGCAAGAUAUUUAAGAAGACUACACUAAUCAAGGGAAUGUUCACAUCCGAUUUAGAGGUUGCUAGGUUUGAAGGUGCUGCCAUUCGGACUAUAAGUGGAAUCCGAGGACAUGUUAAAAAGGCAGCAAAGAUUGAGCCAGGAGAUAUGUUGAAGAGAAAAGGGGAAAAUACAGAAGGAAUCGCAAGAUGUACAUUUGAGGACAGAAUUCUUAUGAGUGACAUUGUUUUCCUGCGUGCCUAGGUCAACGUUGAAGUUCCUACGUACUCUAACCCUGUGACCACUGCUCUGCAACCUAGAGAGCAGACCUGGCAAGGCAUGAGAACAACUGCUGAGUUGCGGAAGGCACACAAUAUCCCUACCCCACACAACAAGGAUUCAGUUUACAAGCCUAUCGAGCGGAAACCACGCAAGUUCAAUCCCGUCGAGAUCCCCGCAAAGCUGCAACAGUUACUUCCUUUUAAAUCUAAGCCUAAGGACACAACGAAGCAGAAGAAAGCACCAGUUGAAAACAGGGUGCCUGUAAUCAUGCA